UACGAAGGGGGCUAGCGUUGCUCGGAAUCACUGGGCGUAAAGCGCACGUAGGCGGGUUGCUAAGUCAGGGGUGAAAUCCUGGAGCUCAACUCCAGAACUGCCUUUGAUACUGGCGGCCUUGAGUCCGGGAGAGGUGAGUGGAACUGCGAGUGUAGAGGUGAAAUUCGUAGAUAUUCGCAAGAACACCAGUGGCGAAGGCGGCUCACUGGCCCGGUACUGACGCUGAGGUGCGAAAGCGUGGGGAGCAAACUAGG
Molecule: ribosomal RNA, 254 nt
Filed under: uncultured bacterium
Lineage: Bacteria
Description: partial 16S ribosomal RNA
Rfam family: Bacterial small subunit ribosomal RNA
Source: RNAcentral